This 30-nucleotide non-coding RNA is filed under the name Mus musculus (house mouse). The record is from RNAcentral. Lineage: Eukaryota; Metazoa; Chordata; Mammalia; Rodentia; Muridae.
UACAAGAAAUGGUGUUUUAUAUAUUUUAUA